UACGUAGGGUGCAUGCGUUAAUCGGAUUUACUGGGCGUAAAGCGUGCGCAGGCGGUUUGCUAAGACAGGUGUGAAAUCCCCGGGCUUAACCUGGGAACUGCGCUUGUAACUGGCAAGCUUGAGUGUGGCAGAGGGGGGUGGAAUUCCACGUGUAGCAGUGAAAUGCGUAGAGAUGUGGAGGAACACCGAUGGCGAAGGCAGCCCCCUGGGCUAACACUGACGCUCAUGCACGAAAGCGUGGGGAGCAAACAGG
Molecule: ribosomal RNA, 253 nt
Filed under: uncultured bacterium
Lineage: Bacteria
Description: partial 16S ribosomal RNA
Rfam family: Bacterial small subunit ribosomal RNA
Source: RNAcentral